CAGAGCGGGGCCGUCAAACCGUUACCAUUACUGAGUUUAGUAAUGGUAAGGGUUCCACGGCCUUUGCUCAA
Molecule: non-coding RNA, 71 nt
Organism: Oryzias latipes (Japanese medaka)
Lineage: Eukaryota; Metazoa; Chordata; Actinopteri; Beloniformes; Adrianichthyidae
Source: Rfam